Molecule: microRNA precursor, 86 nt
Filed under: Rhinopithecus bieti (black snub-nosed monkey)
Lineage: Eukaryota; Metazoa; Chordata; Mammalia; Primates; Cercopithecidae
Description: miRNA (ENSRBIG00000007251.1)
Source: RNAcentral
UAUUAGUUGGUGCAAAAGUAAUUGCGGUUUUUGUCAUUACUUUUAAAUGACAAAAACUGCAAUUACUUUUGCACCAACCUAAUACU